UCUCCUUACAAAUAUGAUUUAAAACACUUCCUUUCAAAAACCAAUAAUUGUAUCUAUUUUUUCUCUAUUUCAAAACUACACAUUCAGUUGCUUUUAUUCCCUCUUCUGUAUAUUUAGAUAUGGAUCAUUUUCUUAAUAUUUACUUGAUAAAAUUACUUAUCAUUUCACCCACAAAAUGGGUUGCCAAGGACUGGUAUUUAUUUCCUUCUCUUCAACAGUUCCUCUUCUUGUCAUGGUCUGAAUUGUAAAGCCCGAUUACAAAUACAGGAGGAAUUUAAAGAGCAGACCUCUAGAACCAAUUGACUCAAUCCUUUUCUGUUCUUUGAACCAUCAUCUCAUUGUCUUCUAUACUUCAGGAUCAUUAGGAACAACUUUACGUAUUUUGCAUUACUUUAUCUCCAGAUUAAAACAUUUUUUGUCUGCAUGUCUCCAUGCAAGCCUUUUUUCAAAUUUGGCAUGAUACAAGGUGUUAAAGAUGACUCACCUCUUUUAACAAAUAGAUUCUUCUUCGCCAUCUCUAUGUGCAAUACCGAUUUUGACUCAGCAUCAAAAACCAUUUCCUAAUACCCCCCAGCAUCAGACAAAAUCAGUGCUUUGAAAAGGAUGACAUAUCUUAGAUGACUAAAUAAAACCG
RNAcentral lists this long non-coding RNA (634 nucleotides) under Gossypium barbadense (sea-island cotton). RNAcentral's name for it is "long non-coding RNA (GBAR_LNC008674)". The record is from RNAcentral. Lineage: Eukaryota; Viridiplantae; Streptophyta; Magnoliopsida; Malvales; Malvaceae.